RNAcentral lists this long non-coding RNA (447 nucleotides) under Populus tremula. Its description in RNAcentral is "long non-coding RNA (PTRE_LNC002080)". The record is from RNAcentral. Lineage: Eukaryota; Viridiplantae; Streptophyta; Magnoliopsida; Malpighiales; Salicaceae.
CUUUCUUGUGACGUUCAACCACUCUUUCUGGGAGGGGGAACGAGGGAAAAGGUGGUCGUCCUUUGUGAGGUUGUGCAGGAGCUCCGCAAUCGCUUUCUCAGCCUUUCGGAUUUGGAGUCUGCGAUACGCUUCAUCUGCCUCCUUCCUCUUCCUCUCGUCGUCGCCAUCCCCGUUGUGCCCACCCUGAUUUUGAGCACUGGUUGUAGCGACGGCUUUUCCCUUUCGUUCCAUGAAAAAAAAAGCGCAAAAAAUGCAAGAGAAACAGUGUCAUAACGAAAAUGACUUGUAACUGUGAAGCUAUAAGGUAUCCUACCCAGGAAUAAGUAUUCAGUUAGCAUAUUGGUGUUUCUUUUCCUCCCCCCAAAAAUGAAGAGAGACUUGUCAGAAAUCGCUUGGUCAAACCAGCAUGGGAAUUGAUCGAUCUUCUACCUUAAUAGUGGUGCAACG